Molecule: ribosomal RNA, 331 nt
Filed under: uncultured bacterium
Lineage: Bacteria
Description: bacterial SSU rRNA
Rfam family: Bacterial small subunit ribosomal RNA
Source: RNAcentral
CAUGUAGGCGGUCUGCUAAGUUCGGAGUGACAGUCACCAGCUUAACUGGUGAAGUGUUUCGAAAACUGGCUGACUUGAGAACGAGAGAGGGACAUGGAAUUCCGGGUGGAGCAGUGAAAUGCGUAGAGAUCCGGAGGAACACCAAAGGCGAAGGCAGUGUCCUGGCUCGUUUCUGACGCUGAGGUGCGAAAGCCAGGGGAGCGAACGGGAUUAGAUACCCCGGUAGUCCUGGCCGUAAACGAUGACCACUAGGCGUGGGAGGGAUCGACCCUUCCGUGCCGUAGUCAACACAUUAAGUGGUCCGCCUGGGGAGUACGGUCGCAAGACUAAA